Long non-coding RNA from Mesocricetus auratus (golden hamster), 2715 nucleotides. RefSeq lists it as uncharacterized. The record is from RefSeq and is a predicted model, not a curated record. Lineage: Eukaryota; Metazoa; Chordata; Mammalia; Rodentia; Cricetidae. The transcript has 8 exons.
GGCAUCCCAUUUAAGACUGAGUUACAAAGUCUCUCCCUCUGUAAACAUUGUCCAAAGGUGGGUCUCUCUGUUCGUUCUCAUCUACUACAGUGGGAAGCUUCUCCGAUUAUGGCCACCUCAACUCCUGUGUGAAGAGAAUGUGUCGUCUCAGCUUCCACCCCAGCACUGCCAAGGUCUGUGAGCGCUGAUGAGAUACACUAACCUAACUGCAUUGACUCUUCCUCUUGCCAUAGAGAAACAGAAAGGAGAACAUCACUGAAGAUGAUCAGUCAUCAUGAGUCCGGUGGCUCAGAGUCAGGAGGUAUAAGUUUGCAGAAUGAAGAGAAGCAUGUCUUCUGCUGCUAGGAGCCGGCUGCUGGUUCUUGGGGCCAGUCUCCUUGGCAACUGCCCACUGCCUUGACCCAGUCACCUACAGCAGCAAUUCACGCUGCAUUUGGUGACAGGUUGAGGAUGCUCACUGACAACUGAAGAGUCCAUCUGACUAACAGGGAUGGCUGACCAUGUGAAGGUAUUGAAAGCAGCAUGAGGCCGCCCUGCCACCUGGGGAUGGAGAGAUGCCAUUAUCAGCAGGUGAUAAGGAUGAAGCUUUUGGAUCUCCCAGGACUUAGGGACAGUCCGAGACCAACGCACAUCUGCCAGGCUCAACCCAGUGGAGGACUACAUUCCAGGGAGACAGACUACUCUGUGGAGUGCUCGUGCUGUGUUAUAUUCUGCUGCUUCAUAGCACAACCAUAACAAAUUACCAUGAAAUCAACAGCUUCCAGCAGCAUCAACUAUUUCCUCAGGGCUCUGAAGCAAAGAAGACUGGAAUCAAAGUGCUGGCAGGUCUCUGCUCACUCCAAGGACCUCUAGGCUGCUUUCUUCCUGCCUCUGCUGGAUGCCCAUCAUUCUUAGCUUAUGGUGAUACCCUCCAAUCUCUGACUCCAUCUAAACUGGGCCUUCUCUCUCCCUGUCUUGUGUUUCUCUGGGGAAUGUUUCUCAUUUGGGACACUCUGCUCAGUUUUGUCACCCCCACACACACAACCCAUGCGAUGCUGUAGAAGAACUGUUCAACUUGCUAGCUGUUCAAACUCUUAGAUUUGAAAACGCAGGAUUCAGUUAACACUCAGUUCCACUGAGUCAACAUUAUGGAGUACAUGUGAUCCUCAGUCUCAUUUGCCACUGUCCAGACCUCAAAACCAAAAGAUGACAGACCUGGGGCUAAGUUGCAAAUUGGAGCUGACCCAGAGAACUUGAUGUAAAGCCACAAUGCCUUGGCAGGGAAUUGCUACCAAGAAGGCCCCUUGAACACACCUCGGUUCCACCAAGGAUUUCUCAGACACCCUCAGCACCUUUAGCAAGAGAAAACUGAUUAAAAAUGUGUGCUUUCUAAUUGUUGGAAUGCUGUUUAAUGCAAGAGAAAAAUCAGUUGUCUGCAUCCAGAUAUCCAUCUAUUCAUGCUCUCCGUCCAGCGCUUCCCACAGGGAGUCUUCACUGACCCCGUUUCCUGGAUGUGAAAAGAUGAGUCCUUCAUCACUUUUCCUGAGGAAGCUGAGGAAGAGCAGGACAGGUGACCAGUGUGGCAGUGUGUCUGUGCAUCAUAGACUUUCUCCUGUGGAUGGCAACCCACCAGGCAAAUGCAUGAAAAAUGGAGCCACACCUACCAAGCCCCCAUCACAACCCUUCAUAGCACCCACAGUGUUCAUCCUCAUCCCAGAGCUUAACAUUGUGUGCCCUUAACAGCACAAACCAGAACGUUCUAGAAAGGCCUGACCACAAAUCCUCCCCAGUCUAUCCCAUGAACCCCACAUCUGAUCCUUCUUGGAUGCAGGACACCAACUCCUGGCUAGUCCAUGAAUCCCAAAAACAAGUCCACAAUUUUCUUUGAGACCAGCUGUGAUGAGUGUCCUUGGUUAUCAAAAUGACUACAUCUGCGGUUAACUAAAACAUGUGAGAGGUUUUUUUUUCUUAGUUUUAAGUGGGAAGCUCUACUUCUAACCUGGACCUUUUAAGUGGGAAGGCAUACCUUUAAUCUGGGUCCCACCUUCUGCUGAAGCCUGUAUAAGGACAUGGAAGAAGGAAGCUUUUGUUUUUUGAUGGCUUUCUCUCACCCUCACUAGCAAGUCAACUCCUUCUCUGAUGUUAGAGCCUAUUUCUUGGGGAUCCUGGCACGUACUGAAGACCAGCUGAGACAUCCAUCCUCGGGGACUAAGGGCUCUUGAACCUUCCAUUUAUAGAUGGUUAUUGAUAGAUUAUCAGGACCACAGCCUGUGAGUCCUUCUUAUAAGAGAGACAAAGAUUCAUUCUAUAAUUUCUGUUACUCUAAAGAUCUCUGAAUAAUAUACCAGGAAGCCCCAACUUUCUUGCCACCAUGAGGCCACACCAUAGUCACUUUGGUCACUGUGUUCUCAAUGAUGACUCUGCAUCAAGCUGCAUGGUGGAUGAUGUCUUUCAGCCACAAGAUGUGAGGAUCUUUGCUUUGUAGUAGGGUUUUCUGUAGUAGCAUCUCCUCUUACCAGUGAAUGUGUUAGUGGCCACACCCCUUUGGGCGUGGCAUCAGAUGCAGCCCUGACGGGAAGGUGGAGAUGCAAGGGGAGCAGUCACUCUCCACUCUCCUUGGGUAGCAAAGAGCUUCUGAAGAGCAGAGACUGCAUCUUCUGGAGCAGGGAUGCAAUGGUGGUUCUUUACUCUUAUCUGUGGAAGUUGUUCCCCAAUAAAACACCCAUUUAUCACUUA